This 786-nucleotide ribosomal RNA is filed under the name uncultured bacterium. Its description in RNAcentral is "bacterial SSU rRNA". It matches the Rfam family "Bacterial small subunit ribosomal RNA", at positions 624 to 1399 of the family's 1533-position model. The record is from RNAcentral.
CAUGGAAACCUAAAAGGCUUGAAUUAAGGGAGAGGAAAAGGGAAUUCCUUAGGGUGGGGGGAAAAGGGGUGAAAUUUGGAAGAAACCCCCCGGGGGGGAGGGGGGCCUUUUUGUUUUGCCAACUACCGCUGGGGCUGGAAGGCCUGGGGUAGGGGAACCAGGAUUAGAUCCCCCGGUAGUCCCCGCCGUAAACGAAGAGUGUUAAGUGUUGGGGAGGUUUCCGCCCUUUCAAUGCGGCGGCUAACCCAUUAAGCACUCCCCCUGGGGAGUUCGACCGCAAGGUUGAAACUCAAAGGAAUUGACGGGGGCCCGCACAAGCGGUGGAGCAUGUGGUUUAAUUUGACGCAACGCGAAGCACCUUACCAGCUCUUGACAUCUUCUGUUCACCCUAGAGAUAGGGCUUCCCCUUCGGGGGCAGAAAGACAGGUGGUGCAUGGUUGUCGUCAGCUCGUGUCGUGAGAUGUUGGGUUAAGUCCCAUAACGAGCGCAACCCUUAUUGUUAGUUGCCAGCAUUCAGUUGGGCACUCUAGCGAGACUGCCGGUGAUAAACCGGAGGAAGGUGGGGAUGACGUCAAAUCAUCAUGCCCCUUAUGAGCUGGGCUACACACGUGCUACAAUGGACGGUACAACGGGUAGCGAGGGCGCGAGCCUUAGCAAAUCCUAAUAAGCCGUUCUCAGUUCGGAUUGUUCUCUGCAACUCGAGAGCAUGAAGCCGGAAUCGCUAGUAAUCGCGGAUCAGAAUGCCGCGGUGAAUACGUUCCCGGGUCUUGCACACACCGCCCGUCA